AAAACAAACAAACAAACAAACAAAAACAAAACACCCAAGAAAAACACAAAAACAAAACAAAACACCCCCAAAAACACCGAGAAAAAACACAAAAACAAAACAAAACACCCAAGAAACACACACACCAAAAAACACCACCAAACAUCAUCAUCAUCAUCAUCAUCUCCGUUUGUCGCUUAAUUAACCCGUUUUGAAAUGAUCCGACAGCAAAAAUUUCCAUAUUCUUUAUUACUGGAAAAAAACACAAAUUGGUUUAUAUAUAAGUGUAUAGUUUUAACAAGACUCUGAGAACACAGGGAGAGAGAGAGGAGGAGGAGGAGGAGGAGGAGGAGGAGGAGUGAGCAAGGGGGUUGGGGGGGGAGGCAGUUGUGGUGAGUGUGUGUGUUUGUGUGUGCGUAAAACUGAGUGUCUGUGUGUGUGUGUAUGUGCGUUUGGCUGUGUCCGUGUGUGUGUGUGUGUGUGUGUGUGUGUGUGUGUGUUGGAAGGGGGGGAAGUGAACCAUAAAGUCUGACUAGCUACCCUUAGGUCACACACACACACACACACACACACACACACACACACACACUUGCUGAUUCUAAGUGUGAGGAGGAGGUGUAGGAAGAGGAAGAAGAGGAGGAGGAGGAUUAGGAUUAGACUAGUCAGCCCUUUGAAAAGAUUAGGAUCAGAACUCCCCAAUCUGUACGCACCGACCCUGUUAGUACGGCAUCUUAAGGAAAUAGAUUGUGUCGGGAAAUUGGGAUGCGGUCAUUUAUCGACAAAAGUGACAGCGAUUAAAAAAAAAAAGAAUUAUGUGUUGUUGAAAGUGUAUUGUCAAAACAGUGAAUUAGAUCAACGUUUCUUCAAGAAUUAGAAAGUGAAUUUGUUUUGUCUUUUGACGAAUUCAAUGAUUCUUUUCUUUUCUUACAAACAGGUCAUUUAAUAAUUAGGUGUAUAGUUUUAUAAUUCCACCGCUUCAUAUCGGCUGUUUUGGAAUCCUUGGUUACGAUAAUUGAUUCCUUUCUCUCUUUCGACUUCUCAAAUCACCGUAAAUAAGCAGAAAGUUUUAAUUAUGGCAAUACUCUCUCUUUCCACCUCAUCCCAAUUUCCCGACACAAUCUUUUCCCAACCCCAAACACAAACAUAGAAACAAACAAACACUCGGUCGGUGGGUCAGUACGUACAAAAUCAAAGUUCCAAGCCUCACUACGUAAUGGUCGCUACGUACGUUUGGGUCUCACACGCACUCUCACGGUGACGAUAAAACACAUGGAAUUGGGGCUCUUAACAAAACUAGCCUAGGGGGGAGUGGUGUGUGUGGGUGUGGGUGUGGGUGUGUGGGGGGGGGGGCAGUGUGUACGCAGCGGACCACUCUGUAUGCAGCGGACCACUCUGUACGCAGCGGACCACUCUGUAUGCAGCGGACCACUCUGUACACGGCGGACCACUCUGUACGCAGCGGACCACUCUGUACGCAGUGGACCACUCUGUACGCGGCGGACCACUCUGUACGCAGCGGACCACUCUAUGCAUGGCGGACCACUCUGUACGCAGCGGACCACUCUGUACGCAGCGGACCACUCUGUACGCAGCGGACCACUCUGUACGCAGCGGACCACUCUGUACGCAGCGGACCACUCUGUACGCAGCGGACCACUCUGUACGCGGCGGACCACUCUGUACGCAGCGGACCACUCUGUACGCAGCGGACCACUCUGUACGCAGCGGACCACUCUGUACGCAGCGGACCACUCUGUACGCGGUGGACCACUCUGUACGCGGCGGACCACUCUGUACGCAGCGGACCACUCUGUACGCAGCGGACCACUCUGUACGCGGCGGACCACUCUGUACGCAGCGGACCACUCUGUACGCAGCGGACCACUCUGUACGCAGCGGACCACUCUGUACGCAGCGGACCACUCUGUACGCAGCGGACCACUCUGUACGCAUAGGGUGCUGUUGGGUGUUAUUGUAGAGGAAAUUUUAUAAUGUUGUUUUGUUCUUUCUUAAAAUUCAUAUGCGGUUAUUUUGAUGCCAGAUUUUUUUUUUGUUUUCUUUCUCUCCAAAAUUCACUCUUUUUUUUUUUUUUCUCCUUUUUCUCUUCCCAAAUUCACCUUUUUUUUCUCUCCUUUCCUUCACAAAAUCUACAUAUAUUUAUUUUAAUCUCUUUUUCUUCUUUUUUCCUUUCCUUUACAAAAUCUACAUAUGUUAAUUUUAAUCUCUUUUUCUUCUUUUUUCCUUUCCUUUACAAAAUCUACAUAUGUUAAUUUUAAUCUCUUUUUCUUCUUUUUUCCUUUCCUUUACAAAAUCUACAUAUGUUUAUUUUAAUCUCUUUUUCUACUUUCCUUUCUCUCCUUCCCUUUCCUUCCAGAGCAAUUAUCAUUAUUAUUAUUAUUAUUAUUAUUAUUAUUAUGGUCAUGGUGCGUACUAAAUGGGGCGCCGCUCGCUCAAACAGGGACAGCGGGUGCGUACAAAUUGGUCAGGCGCGUACAAACUGGCGCACACACUCUGUAAGCAUUUUUUCACACACACACACGCACACAAACACGCACACAAGAGAGAAUAGUUGUCAUUUGAGCUAGUAAAGUAAACACACGCUCACCACAGGCGGUUUCGGUAGAAGUAGAAGUAGUAGAAGUAGUAGUAGUAGUAGUAGUAGUAGUAGUAGUAGUAGUAAUCAAAGUUAUCAUUAUCAUUAACAUUAUCAGUAAGUAUUAUCAUCAUCGUAACAUUAUUAUUAUUACUGGUAAGAUUCUAAGCGCUCGCCCCACGGGGUAAAAUUCCCCCGUCGUUAGUGACAGUAGGGGCUGGGAGGGGGCGGGGCGGGGCUGGCGCUGGGGGCUGAGACACUCACAGGGGUCUAUAUUACCCUGGGGCCACUAAAAGUAUUCCCAAGGGGUUCUGAAUGCUCGUAAAGGACCACCAGGUACUCCCCAAGGGGCCUGUAGUACCCUGGGGCCAUUGCAUUCCCUCAGGGGUUGACGUGUUCCCCAGUAUCACCCAGGGGUUUCUCAUACCCUUAAAAUAUUCCCAAGUGGUUCUCAAUGCUUGUAAAGGACCGCCAGGUACUCCCCAGGGGCCUGUAGUACCCUGGGGCCAUUGCAUUCCCUCAGGGGUUGAUGUAUUCCCCAGUAUCACCCAGGGGUUUCAAAUUACCAAAAGUCCCUAAAAAGAUUUCUAAGGGGGGAAUGUCUCGCUCCCUCGCACCCUCUCGCGUCAAGACUCCCCCAGGGUUUGUGUUUCCCCCAGCCCCAGCCCCUGCCCCCCCUGGUCGAUACAAGGGUGGGGGCGAGGCAAGGGUCCCCCCGGCUAGUACAGUAUUUACAGUUACGUGCGGCGAUCGGCUCGGCAUGACACGGCUCCCUGCGAUCUCGGAAGGGAAUAACUGCUCAGAGAAUUGAGUUGCGGAAUGACCGAUGGAAUGUUAUUGAACCUUGGCAUCCGUGUGUGUUUUUUGUGGAAUGGGAUGCUGUUUAAUGGGAAAAUAAGCAAGAAAAUGGGUUAAAUUGUGCUCCUGUGAAAUUGGGACUUGGCGGAGAGGAUGUUAAAUUGUGAUAUAGCAUUUCUCUUUCUCUCUCCCUCUCUUUCUUUUUACAGUUUAAUGGGAAAAUAAGCAAGAAAAUGGGUUAAAUUGUGCUCCUGUGAAAUUGGGACUUGGCGGAGGAUGAAAAAUACCUUCACAUUUUUUAUUUAUGAUUUUCCAAGUGAUUUCUUUUCCUUCCCUCUCCUAACUUUCCCAUAACAAUACUUUCACAUUUUUUAUUUAUGAUUUCCCAAGUGAUUUCUUUUCCUUCCCUCUCCUAACUUUCCCAUAACAAUACUUUCACAUUUUUAUUUAUGAUUUUCCAAGUGAUUUCUUUUCCUUCCCUCUCCUAACUUUCCCAUAACAAUACUUUCACAUUUUUAUUUAUGAUUUCCCAAGUGAUUUCUUUUCCUUCCCUCUCCUAACUUUCCCAUAACAAUACUUUCACAUUUUUAUUUAUGAUUUCCCAAGUGAUUUCUUUUCCUUCCCUCUCCUAACUUUUCCAUAACAAUACUUUCACAUUUUUAUUUAUGAUUUCCCAAGUGAUUUAUUUUCCGUAAGAGAAUUCAACACUCCCUCCUACAUCUUUGGAACUUCUCAAACAAUUCCUUUUCCAACAUUUAAAUCUUUUCUUUAUAAUUUCUCAAGCGAUUCCUUUUCCAACACUUAAAUCUUUUCUUUAUAAUUUUUCAAGCGAUAUCUUUUCCGUCUCACCAAUUCUCCGAGCAACUCUCCCAUUAUCCUUUACAAUUUUCCAAGCGAUAUCUUUUCCCUCUCCUCAAAUCACCAUAGCAAAACCUUCCCUCUUUUCUUCAUAAAUUCCCAAGCGAUUUCUUUUCCCUCCUUUAUAGUUUCUUGAGUGAUAUCUUUUCUCUCUCCUCCUCUCCUCAAAUCACCAUAUCAAAACCUUCCCUCUUUUCUUCAUAAAUUCUCAAGUGAUUUCUUUUCCCUCUCCUUAAUUCACUGUAGCAAAACAUUCUAAUUUUCCUUCAUAGUUUCCAAAGUGAUUUCUUUUCCCUCUCCUCCUCUCCUCAAUUCACCAGAGCAAAACUCUCCCUUUUCUUCACAAAUUCCCAAGCGAUUUCUUUUCUGCCACGUCAAUCCUCCGCAGCGAGUCUCCCCGUCACUACGACCGCUACGAGAGAGAGAGAUGGGGGCCUGCCGUCACACCGAGCCGCCCGCCGCACCCUAGAGUGUUACCAUAUUUGUGCAGAUUGUCUACUACAAAUUGAGCCAAGCAAAGCAAGGAAAACAAAGGUACCAUAAGACUUACUUGGACAGGAAAAUUCCUCCUACGCAUACUUAAGAAUAUUGUAAUCGACACUUAGGAUGAUGAUGAUUGGGACGCUACGUACGCACACUCGGGGGAAGGUUAGAGUGGCGGGGCGCGGGUUCGGGGGCGUUGGUUUGUGCGUAUGUGUGUGUGGGGGGGGGGUAGGGUGUGGGGGUUGGUGUUACAUAUUGAAAGAAAUAAAAAAUGAAUGGAAAAAAUGAGAAAUUGUGACGUGAUUAGAUUUUUUUUUUGUCGAAAUGAAGCAAAGAAAAAAGUGUCGUUACGUAUUGAAAAAGAAAUGAAGAAUGAAUGAAAAAAAUGAGAAAUUGUGUCGUAAUUAGAUUUAUUUUGAGACGAAACGAAGCAAAGAAAAAAAUGUUGUUACGUAUUGAAAAAGAAAUGAAGAAUGAAUGAAAAAAAUGAGAAAUUGUGACGGAAUUCGAUUUUUUUUUUUGUCGAAACGAAACAAAGAAAAAAAAAGUCAUUAGAAAUUAGAAAAAAAAUUGAAUGAAUGAGAAAAAUGAGAAAUUGACGUAAUUAAAAAAAAAAUUUUAGUCGAAACGAAACAAAGAAAAAAAAGGAUCGUUAAGAAUUAGAAAAAAAAUUGAAUGAACUAAAAAAAAUGAGAUUGUGAUGUAAUUUGAUUUUUUAGAGUUAAUGAAAUAGAAAUAAAAACGAAGGUGGUGUCGACAUUACGUAUUGAAAAAGAAAUAAAAAAUGAAUGAAAAAAAUGAGAAAUUGUGAUGUAAUUCAAUUUUUUUUUGAGUUAAUGAAAUAUAAAUAAAAACGAAGGUGGUGUUGACAUUACGUAUUGAAAAAGAAAUAAAAAAUGAAUGAAAAAAAUGAAAAAUUGUGAUGGAAUUCGAUUUUCUUGGACUGAGGAAGCAAAAAGGAAAAAAAAGUAAGGUGUCAAUGUUACCAAUUCAAAAAACAAAACAACUUAAGGAAAAGAAAAAAUGCAAAUCUGAUUUUUUUAGUUGACGAAAACACCCACCCACACACACACACGCACGUACGCACACACCAACGCCCCGAGACACGCCCGCCACAUCUUAAAUAAAAGCACAUUAUAUAAAAACCUCUUCGCCGCUGGAAUCGCUACGCACGCAAGUCACGGAAACUCCGAUACAUUACAAUAGAGCUACGGAAUAAUAAUAAUAAUAAUAAUAAUAAUAAUAAUAAUAAUAAUAAUAACCUUUUUUUGUGCAGUCAACACGACACACGCCAACCAUUGGUCCAGGACUUGUCGGGUUUUGUUCGGUACAAAAGACGGAACGAAUCAUUGCUUUCAGGAGUGACACAAGUGUAGCUACAACUGUGGGGGGGAGCGCCGGCCAGGCCAAGACCCAGACCGAGCCCAGGCAGACAGACAGACCUCGCCUAAGUUGAGUAAACUGGAAAACUGAACUGACUCAAAACAGUGAGUCAUCAGCAGACAGACCUUGUAGCACUCGCCUAAGUUGAGUAAACAGGGAAACUGAACCGACUCAAAACAGUGAAUCAUUGACAAACAGAUCUCGCUGCACUCGCCUAAGUUGAGUAAACAGGGAAACUGAACUGACUCAAAACAGUGAGUCAUCAGCAGACAGACCUUGUAGCACUCGCCUAAGUUGAGUAAACUGGAAAAUUGAGUUGACUAAAAAAAGUGAAUCAUCAUCAAGAAAUGUCAAGAAAUGCCUCACAUCCAUAAAUACUUACAAUAGUCUGAGAUUUAAAUAGAUUUUUUUAGUAUAUAUCCAUUUUCAAAGUCAAGAGUAAAACAAUGUACCAAAAGAUUGUUUUAAAAUAUUGGGAACACUGUCCUUCAUAAGUGUUUCCUUACAGCAGCACAAGAAUUAAACAGAUUUUUUAAGUAGAUCCAUUUUCAAAGUCAAGAGUAAAACAAUGUACCAAAAAGUGUUUUAAAAUAUUGGGAACACUGUCCUUCAUAAGUGUUUCCUUACCCCAACACAAGAAUUAAACAGAUUUUUUAAGUAGAUCCAUUUUCAAAGUCAAGAGUAAAACAAUGUACCAAAAUGUGUUUUAAAAUAUUGGUAACACUGUCCUUCAUAAGUGUUUCCUUACAGCAGCACAAGAAUUAAACAGAUUUUAUAAGUACAUAGUUUUGUAUCAAUGUAUUUUCAGUUGUUCAUUCUGACAACUACACAUAUUUUUCAACUCAAACUUUCUGAGAACAACAUUUUUCUGCUUGCCUUCCAUAGAUAACCUCAAACUCACAUUAUAAUUUUUUCCUUUACUACGAAUGUCAAUAUCUCCCACACAUCAACUCUGAUCCCAAGCGUAACUAUUUCUUCACCUACGAACAGCUGUGUCGUGAAAUAACAAAAAUUACAUAGUCUGCCCUGAAUCAUUAGAGAAACUGCAAUAACACAGUGGAAAUAUCCGUAAUCAGUUUUCCCGAUGACCCACUUUUACAUUCACUUCAGCUUCCCCAAUUAACAUUUUUUUCUGAUUUUCCGAGGCGAGCAAAAAACACAACUGGCAACUCCGAGACUGUCCUGGCCGGCGCUCGCUCCCACACCUCCGUCGGACCAAGAGAAACAACUAUAUCACAGAAGGGUGAGGGGGGGGUGCAGGGGGAGGAGGAGGAGCAGGAGGAGGAGGAGGAGGAGGAGGAGGAGAUAACAUGUGAUUCUUUGCAUACCCCUAUGGCUAAAAAUUUUGAUGAACGUAAAAGUGAGAGAGAGAGCAAGAGCGAGAGCAAGAGAGAGAGAGAGAGAGAUCAAAAGCAAGAGAGAGAUAACAAAACCAGAUACAAAAGAUAUGCAAUGAAAGAGAGAGAGAGAGACAGAGCGAGAGAGAGAGAGAGGGAGAGAGAGAGACAUAACCCACAGACAGACAAAUUUACAGACAGACAGACAGACAGACAGACACCGAGAGGCACCAAUCGACUCCAGAGGCACUCGUAAAGGUGGAAUGACUCGAAGGAAGUGGAAUGUGGAGUGUUACGUAGGGAAGCCGACCUCUACGCACUGACACACGCACAAACUAACACACAGCAGAGGAGGGAUGGAUUGCGCUCGGAUGGUUGACUGACGGACGAACACACACGUCAGAGGAGAGAUGGUUGCUUUCGGAAUGUUAACUGACACACGAACACACGUCACGUAAACGCAAGAUUACGUUAAGAGGUUUAUACGUAUAUAUUCGAACUAAAAAAACUCAAACUCCCCAAAAAAUGAGAAAUUGUGAUGUAAUUUGAUUUUUUUUGAGUCGAAACGAAACAGAGAAUAAAAAAAAAGUGUCUUACGGAUUAGAAAAAAAAUAAAUGAGUGGAAAAAAAAGAAAUUGACGUAAUUCAAUUUUUUUUUUUGAGUUGACGAAAUAAAAAAAAAGUGCUGUCGAUGUUACGUAUUGAAAAAUAAAUAAAUAAUGAAUGAAAGAUAUGAGAAAUUGUGACGUAAUUUGACAUUUUUUUGAGUUGAUGAAGAAAAGAAAAAAAAGAAGGUGGUUUCGACAUUACGUAUCGAAAAAUGAAUAAAAAAUAAAUGAAAAAAAAAAUCCUAUUACUGGAACUCAAAACUUGAUAUUUUCGUCAUUUUUUCAAAACUCAAAACUGAAAAACGUCUCAUAAUUUUAAGUUGAAUUUUGAUUUUUAUAACUUAACUUCACAUCCUUAUUCCUCUGUAUAUCCUCUGCUGAGAGUACUAAUUGGGAUCAGUGCGUACAAACUGGUCAUCCCUUCUAGUUUUGGCUUCAAGAGAGAGAGAGAGAGAGAGAGAGAGAGAGAGAGAGAGAGAGAGAGAGAGAGAGAGAGAGAUGGAAUGAGUUUGUGCAUGAAUGAGAUUUGUGACGCUAGCCAACACACACACACACACACACACACACACACACACACACACAGGGUAAUAUAGCUAGACAGACAGACAGAGAUAGAGAGAGCGAGAGAGAGAGAGAGAGAGAGAGAGAGAGAGAGAGAGAGAGAGAGAGAGAGAGAGAGAGAGAGAGAGAGAGAGAGAGAGAGAGAGAGAGAGAGAGAGAGAGAA
Long non-coding RNA from Eriocheir sinensis (Chinese mitten crab), 8764 nucleotides. RefSeq lists it as uncharacterized. The transcript is spliced from 4 exons. The record is from RefSeq and is a predicted model, not a curated record. Lineage: Eukaryota; Metazoa; Arthropoda; Malacostraca; Decapoda; Varunidae.